GGUCACUGCUAUCGGUGUUCGACUAAGCCAUGCGAGUCAAAUGUUCUUCGUGAACAUGGCGUACUGCUCAGUAACACGUGGAUAACCUGCCCCUAGGUCUGGCAUAACCCCGGGAAACUGGGGAUAAUUCCGGAUAGAUCAUAGAUGCUGGAAUGCGCUGUGAUCCAAAGCUAUUGUGCCUAAGGAUGGGUCUGCGGUCUAUCAGGUUGUAGUGGGUGUAAUGUACCUACUAGCCUACGACGGAUACGGGUUGUGGGAGCAAGAGCCCGGAGAUGGAUUCUGAGACAUGAAUCCAGGCCCUACGGGGCGCAGCAGGCGCGAAAACUUUACAAUGCGGGGAACCGCGAUAAGGGGACACCGAGUGCCAGCAUCCUAUGUUGGCUGUCCAUAUGUCUAAAUCACAUGUGUUAGCAAGGGCCGGGCAAGACCGGUGCCAGCCGCCGCGGUAACACCGGCGGCCCGAGUGGUGGCCACUAUUAUUGGGUCUAAAGGGUCCGUAGCCGGUUUGGUCAGUCUUCCGGGAAAUCUGACGGCUUAACCGUUAGGCUUUCGGGGGAUACUACCAGGCUUGGGACCGGGAGAGGUAAGAGGUACUACGGGGGUAGGAGUGAAAUCUUGUAAUCCCUGUGGGACCACCAGUGGCGAAGGCGUCUUACCAGAACGGGUCCGACGGUGANNGACGAAAGCUAAAAGCACNAACCGGAUUAGAUACCCNNGUAGUCCCAGCUGUAAACUAUGCUCGCUANGUNUCAAGACGNUGCGACCGUUUCUAUGCCGCAGNGAAGCC
This 787-nucleotide ribosomal RNA is filed under the name uncultured archaeon. RNAcentral's name for it is "bacterial SSU rRNA". It matches the Rfam family "Archaeal small subunit ribosomal RNA", at positions 21 to 813 of the family's 1478-position model. The record is from RNAcentral.